GCCGGGGCGUCCCCCGCGGGAGCCCGCAGCCACCCGGGACGCGCAUCCAGACGUGGCGCUUCGGACCGGGCACGCUGCGCCCGGGGGCUCGGCGGACCCCGCGUAGCCGCCGCUUCGGAGCUUGUGCGGCGCGGGCUGGCCAGCGGGGCGGCCAGGGCCCGGCCCGCCUCCCCAGCGCCCGCCCGGCUUCUCCCCCUGGCGGUGGGAGCCUCGGCGGCCGCUGGCGACACUAGGCGCACUGAAGCCCGAGCCGAGCCGAGCCCGAGCCGCCGCCGCCGCCGCCGCUGCUGCGCACCGCUCCCGGGCUCCCUCCCAGCGCGCCGGCCGGGGUGUGGGGGGCGGCGGGCCGGAGGGGCGAGGGCGGGCCAGGGGGCGCACACGGGGGUUGGCGCGGAAGACAGGACCCUCAGCCUCGAGGGAGCCCCUAGGUGACCAGGCAAAAUGGCAGUUCCUUCCAGCUGGUCCUCAGAUGGGCACAUCUAUUAGCCUCUGCUCUUGUAAGAAGUUAGCUGCAGAACCCACAUGUGAAUCCUUGUAGGACUCUGGAGAAGAUCAAAUGGGAGCUUAGAUGUGGAAGCUCUUUGGAAACCAAGAAACACUCUGAAAAUGAAAAGGGUGGAAGAGUAAACUGUUCCUGUUUCUCCAUCUUGACAGGAAGCAGAAGUUCUCCUUAGCUGAUUUUUCUUCUUGCCUUAUACUGGGUUCUUUAACACCAGAACAAAAAUAAAUAAAUAAAA
This 737-nucleotide long non-coding RNA is filed under the name Homo sapiens (human). RNAcentral's name for it is "non-protein coding SATB1-AS1:3". The record is from RNAcentral. Lineage: Eukaryota; Metazoa; Chordata; Mammalia; Primates; Hominidae.